Urocitellus parryii (Arctic ground squirrel) is the source of this 1573-nucleotide long non-coding RNA. NCBI's taxonomy places the organism in Eukaryota, Metazoa, Chordata, Mammalia, Rodentia, Sciuridae. The record is from Ensembl.
UGCCGAGAUGAUCGCCUGGCUAAGGGCUGAGACCCUGGCUGCCGGAGGAUAGGAGGGUGGCCGAGGGAAACAGAGGGGGGUCAGCGGGUGGUUCCCGGAUGGUCCAGGAGGCGGAGACACUAGGGAGUCCCCGUAGGCGGUGCCUCGGCGGCGGGCGCUAUUUACCUGCAGUCUUGGAGCAGGUAAAAAGAACUUAAGCCCAGAAAGCGAAAACCAGAGCCGGAGGACCUCUAUUUCCUUCUUUUCUUUCCCGGAGCUUCGAGAGUCCUCGCCUCAUCGGCCUCCAACCUAUCAGCGCCCACCCACCUAGCGUCCCCUGCUCAGCCGAGAAGCCAGCGCACGCAUUAACCUCUCAGUGACCACUCGGAGCAAGGCGAGGAGCCAAGCGUCUAAGAUUCUGGUCUUCCAAGUAUACCUGGGCCUCCCUCACCUGGGUCCAGCUUCAGCUCCAUCGCCUACUGCCCACCCUGUCCCCCCACUCCAGCAACCCCAAGCCCCCGCCCGCGUCCUGUAGCUCCGCUGGGGCAGGGAGGAACUCUCCUGACUCCAGAGUUGACUCGGGCCACUGGAGAGUCAAGUUCCUCAAUCUCGACCCUGCCCAGCGUGGGAAGCCAGACCAGAGUGGAAGCCUGACUUCACACCGAGGCCCACAGCCCCCGCCCCAAGAGGUCUUCUACUUUGCUGUCCUUUCAGCUUGGCUAUUGCGCUACCACUACACAUCAUUCCCGCAGCUGGCAGAACUAGCACCUGGAGCCAGGAAACACCAAGGUUGCCCUCCGCAGUGCACUCAGACUGACCCCGGGUCACUGGAGUACGUCCGGAGCCGGAGCCCUGUAGUCUCUGCACUUCUUCCCAGCUGUGUGGCCUACAAGCCUUGCGCAGAGUCGUGGGCGCAGCUCCGAGUUCUCUAGUAGUUUUACUCCCCACCCCACCCCUCCAUUCCUCCCAGGGAACAUCGCUCUCGACCCGGCACACUGCAAAAGGGUAGAAACACAGUGGGGUCCCUGCCACAGAGCCCGAUGGGCAGGUUGGGGGCGGGGAAGCAGGCCUGGCUGGGGCGGAGCGCUUAAGCCUUGAGGGGCGCUGCUGUGGUGGAUGCGGAGAAGGGGCCACGUGCAGGGAGCGGCGGCCCGAGAGCUGCACAGAAGGCGGGGAGAUUUGCAAACUGUUGCUGCCACAUGGCUGCUCCAUUCGAUCCAUUCACAUUGAAAUGAGGCCGGCGCGUGCCUCAUCUGCCGCAGGGCGCUGCCACGCGUCAGCCCGACCCGCCGCGUGCCAACUGGGGCAGUGGGGCUGGCAAAGUCUGCCAGCCGUGGGGGCUCAGCCCAGGCCCUACAGCCAGGAGGGGGUAGGGGAAGGGCGUCGAGCUACCCUAGCCACUCAGGCGCCACUGUUUCUCGGACCUUGGCCCUGCAAUUGCGAUUGAGCCGGCAGAAAGGACCAGGACGGACGGUUUCAAAAGGGGGCCAGGAUCGAUGCCGCCGCUCCCCGCAGAUGCGCCCCGGCAGCGCUACUCUCCAUCUGCUGCUGCUCGCACCUGCCGGUCAAUAAAUCGAUUUUACAAUUUAAUGCA